CCUACGGGAGGCAGCAGUAGGGAAUAUUGCUCAAUGGGGGAAACCCUGAAGCAGCAACGCCGCGUGGAUGAUGAAGGUUCUCGGAUCGUAAAGCCCUAUCGUCAGAGAAGAUAAUGACGGUAUCUAACGAAUAAGCACCGGCUAACUCCGUGCCAGCAGCCGCGGUAAUACGGAGGGUGCAAGCGUUACUCGGAUUCACUGGGCGUAAAGAGCGCGUAGGCGGGAGAGCAAGUCAGAUGUGAAAUCCUAGGGCUUAACCAUAGAACUGCAUUUGAAACUGUUAUGCUAGAGUAUGGGAGAGGUAGGUGGAAUUCUUGGUGUAGGGGUGAAAUGCGUAGAGAUCAGGAGGAAUACUGAUUGCGAAGGCGACCUGCUAGAACGUAACUGACGCUGAUGCGCGAAAGCGUGGGGAGCAAACAGGAUUAGAUACCCGGGUAGUC
This 440-nucleotide ribosomal RNA is filed under the name uncultured bacterium. RNAcentral's name for it is "partial 16S ribosomal RNA". It matches the Rfam family "Bacterial small subunit ribosomal RNA", at positions 338 to 795 of the family's 1533-position model. The record is from RNAcentral.